UACAGAGGGGGCAAGCGUUGUUCGGAAUUACUGGGCGUAAAGGGCGCGUAGGCGGCCUGCUAAGUCGAACGUGAAAUCCCCGGGCUCAACCCGGGAACUGCGUCCGAUACUGGUAGGCUUGAAUUCGGGAGAGGGAUGCGGAAUUCCAGGUGUAGCGGUGAAAUGCGUAGAUAUCUGGAGGAACACCGGUGGUGAAGGCGGCAUCCUGGACCGGUACUGACGCUGAGGCGCGAAAGCUAGGGUAGCAAACAGG
RNAcentral lists this ribosomal RNA (253 nucleotides) under uncultured bacterium. RNAcentral describes it as "partial 16S ribosomal RNA". It matches the Rfam family "Bacterial small subunit ribosomal RNA", at positions 524 to 776 of the family's 1533-position model. The record is from RNAcentral.